Molecule: ribosomal RNA, 420 nt
Filed under: uncultured bacterium
Lineage: Bacteria
Description: bacterial SSU rRNA
Rfam family: Bacterial small subunit ribosomal RNA
Source: RNAcentral
AAGGAAUAUUGGACAAUGCUCGCAAGAGUGAUCCAGCCAUGCCGCGUGCAGGAAGACGGCCCUAUGGGUUGUAAACUGCUUUUGAACUAGAGAAAACCCCCCUUCGUGAAGGGGGCUGAUAGUAUAGUUAGAAUAAGCAUCGGCUAACUUCGUGCCAGCAGCCGCGGUAAGACGAAGGAUGCAAGCGUUAUCCGGAUUCAUUGGGUUUAAAGGGAGCGUAGGUGGAUUUGUAAGUCAGUGGUGAAAGCCGGCAGCUUAACUGUCGAACUGCCAUUGAUACUGCGGAUCUUGAGUAUGGUUGCUGUGGGCGGAAUAUGACAUGUAGAGGUGAAAUUCAUAGAGAUGUCAUAGAACACCGAUUGCGAAGGCAGCUCACAAAACCAUUACUGACACUGAGGCUCGAAAGUGCGGGGAUCAAAC